CUACGGGGGGCACCAGUGGGGAAUAUUGCACAAUGGGGGAAACCCUGAUGCAGCAACGCCGCGUGGAGGAUGACGCAUUUCGGUGUGUAAACUCCUUUUAUCAAGGAAGAAAUUUGACGGUACUUGAUGAAUAAGCACCGGCUAACUCCGUGCCAGCAGCCGCGGUAAUACGGAGGGUGCAAGCGUUACUCGGAAUCACUGGGCGUAAAGGACGCGUAGGCGGUUUGAUAAGUUGGAUGUGAAAUCCUAUGGCUUAACCAUAGAACUGCAUCCAAAACUGUCAGACUAGAGUGAGGGAGAGGUGAAUGGAAUUAGUGGUGUAGGGGUAAAAUCCGUAGAGAUCACUAGGAAUACUCAUAGCGAAGGCGAUUCACUGGAACUUUACUGACGCUGAGGCGUGAAAGCAUGGGGAGCAAACAGGAUUAGAUACCCCGGUAGUC
Molecule: ribosomal RNA, 440 nt
Filed under: uncultured bacterium
Lineage: Bacteria
Description: partial 16S ribosomal RNA
Rfam family: Bacterial small subunit ribosomal RNA
Source: RNAcentral